AGUGAACGCUGGCGGUAGGCCUAACACAUGCAAGUCGAACGGCAGCACAGUAAGAGCUUGCUCUUACGGGUGGCGAGUGGCGGACGGGUGAGGAAUACAUCGGAAUCUACUUUUUCGUGGGGGGUAACGUAGGGAAACUUACGCUAAUACCGCAUACGACCUACGGGUGAAAGCAGGGGAUCUUCGGACCUUGCGCGAUUGAAUGAGCCGAUGUCGGAUUAGCUAGUUGGCGGGGCAAAGGCCCACCAAGGCGACGAUCCGUAGCUGGUCUGAGAGGAUGAUCAGCCACACUGGAACUGAGACACGGUCCAGACUCCUACGGGAGGCAGCAGUGGGGAAUAUUGGACAAAGGGCGCAAGCCUGAUCCAGCCAUACCGCGUGGGUGAAGAAGGCCUUCGGGUUGUAAAGCCCUUUUGUUGGGAAAGAAAAGCAGCAGGUUAAUACCCCGCUGUUCUGACGGUACCCAAAGAAUAAGCACCGGCUAACUUCGUG
RNAcentral lists this ribosomal RNA (492 nucleotides) under uncultured bacterium. Its description in RNAcentral is "partial 16S ribosomal RNA". It matches the Rfam family "Bacterial small subunit ribosomal RNA", at positions 29 to 507 of the family's 1533-position model. The record is from RNAcentral.